RNAcentral lists this ribosomal RNA (482 nucleotides) under uncultured bacterium. Its description in RNAcentral is "partial 16S ribosomal RNA". It matches the Rfam family "Bacterial small subunit ribosomal RNA", at positions 30 to 507 of the family's 1533-position model. The record is from RNAcentral.
AUUGAACGCUGGCGGCAUGCUUUACACAUGCCAGUCGAACGGUAACAGGCCGCAAGGUGCUGACGAGUGGCGCACGGGUGAGUAAUGCAUCGGAACGUGCCCAGUCGUGGGGGAUAACUACUCGAAAGAGUAGCUAAUACCGCAUACGAUCUAUGGAUGAAAGCGGGGGACCGUAAGGCCUCGCGCGAUUGGAGCGGCCGAUGUCAGAUUAGGUAGUUGGUGGGGUAAAGGCUCACCAAGCCAACGAUCUGUAGCUGGUCUGAGAGGACGACCAGCCACACUGGGACUGAGACACGGCCCAGACUCCUACGGGAGGCAGCAGUGGGGAAUUUUGGACAAUGGGCGCAAGCCUGAUCCAGCAAUGCCGCGUGCAGGAAGAGGGCCUUCGGGUUGUAAACUGCUUUUGUACGGAACGAAACGGCUCUGGUUAAUACCCGGGGCUAAUGACGGUACCGUAAGAAUAAGCACCGGCUAACUACGUG